AUAUGAUGCUGGGGGAGCCUUAUGGCUGAGAGGGAAUUUCGAUUCCUGACCCUUUGAACCUGAUGUGGUUAGUACCAUCGUAGGGAAGCUAUUUUAUAUUUGU
This 103-nucleotide non-coding RNA is filed under the name Pelosinus sp. UFO1. Its description in RNAcentral is "TPP riboswitch aptamer (THI element)". It matches the Rfam family "TPP riboswitch aptamer (THI element)". From Rfam's summary of the family: Vitamin B(1) in its active form thiamin pyrophosphate (TPP) is an essential coenzyme that is synthesised by coupling of pyrimidine and thiazole moieties in bacteria. The previously detected thiamin-regulatory element, thi box was extended, resulting in a new, highly conserved RNA secondary structure, the THI element, which is widely distributed in eubacteria and also occurs in some archaea. Lineage: Bacteria; Bacillati; Bacillota; Negativicutes; Selenomonadales; Sporomusaceae. The record is from Rfam by way of RNAcentral. RNAcentral also lists the same sequence under 1 other name.